GUUCUAUCCAGGCUCUUGAACUGCAAGAACUGCUAGCCAGAGAAGGGGCUGACAUGAUUUGGAGGUGAAGUGCAUGGCGGUGGUGGGCGUCCUGGGGAAACUUCUGCAUCGGUAUUUCCCACCACCCCUGUCUGUGGUUUUGUGCUGAGACUGCUGAGACUGCCGCCAUGCAGUUCCUUUGGAACUCAGAAGUGAAGAGCCUGUACUAUUUUGACCUCUCUCAUAGUGGAUGUGUAAUACUUUAAAGACCA
This is a long non-coding RNA of Mus musculus (house mouse), 251 nucleotides long. RefSeq annotates it as RIKEN cDNA 4921525D07 gene. NCBI's taxonomy places the organism in Eukaryota, Metazoa, Chordata, Mammalia, Rodentia, Muridae. The record is from RefSeq and is a predicted model, not a curated record. The transcript is spliced from 3 exons.